GCAAGACCGUGAGGUGGAGCAAAACUCAAAAACUUAGUCUCAGUUCGGAUUGUAGGCUGAAACUCGCCUACAUGAAGCUGGAGUUGCUAGUAAUCGCGAAUCAGCAUGUCGCGGUGAAUACGUUCCCGGGCCUUGUACACACCGCCCGUCACACCAUGAGAGUUGGCAAUACCCAACGUACGUGAUCUAACCCGCAAGGGAGGAAGCGUCCUAAGGUAGGGUCAGCGAUUGGGGUGAAGUCGUAACAAGGUAUC
RNAcentral lists this ribosomal RNA (254 nucleotides) under uncultured bacterium. Its description in RNAcentral is "partial 16S ribosomal RNA". It matches the Rfam family "Bacterial small subunit ribosomal RNA", at positions 1249 to 1500 of the family's 1533-position model. The record is from RNAcentral.